UAAAAACGUUUUCUGUUUGUUGCUGUUACUUUUUGAAACUGUUGAGAAACUGCAGUUUAGUGAUUUCCAUACCUUGAAAAUAUUUUGUAUUCCUAAAACCAACUUUUUUUCAGUGUUCAACAGAAAAAAUUAUUACAAUUGUUUCAUUACCGAAAUAAAUUUCUCCACCAGGUACAAGUAUAGAGGUGGAAAGCACUUCAACUCUUCAAAAUUCGAGUCCAGCGCCAACUCGUCAUCCAAAAAUUAAUCGACAUAAUCUGCAUGUUCCAGACCCAGGGGGGUCCAAACUCACUAUCAACACAGCUUUUGGAAGUCAACUAAUUGAAGAAGAAAACCGCCGAGUUGUUCGACCUAGACGAGUACUUUCGAGUAUCGCAUCUAGUUGUGAUGAGCAUCAGAAAAGUCAGGGACUGCUGAACAGAAUAAAGGAAUCGAAAUCAUUGGAUUGUUUACCUCUUCGAAAGAGCAACAAACCUUCGGAUCUGAUUGAAAAGUUUUUGAAGGGACAGCGGCGCUCUGCAAAAUCAUUAGAGAACUGUGAUAAGUGUGGUGAGGUACAAAUUUUUGCCAUACCUGAAGAUAAACUGAUGAAUAAUAAUUUCCCUAAUGGCAAUUUGGUUAAUAUUCCAUCGUACUGUGCAAAAAGUGGUUUAGAAGACGUACAUGUGCCAUUGUUAAACCCUACGCAGCAUCCUGUGAUAGUCAGAAGAAGAGGAGGAAGUGCUAUUGAUGACACAUCUGAGAGCGAAUUUUCCAAAAGAUGGCAUUCCCUGGAAGCAGUAUCGGCCUCUUGUGCCCAAUUAUCAGACAUAAACAAUAAAAAAACAAUUUCACGGAGUGCUUUCAAAAGCUGGCUGGUGGGUUUAUUCAAUGGAACUGGACUGAAAUCGAGCAACACUUCAUUGAGAAAAGGUGUUCUGAAUGAAUAUAAUAACCUGCAAGCUGAAAAAGAGAGUAUAGUCUAGAAAAAUGUUGAUGUUUGUUAGAUGUGAACCACAAAAAUAACAUUCAAGUACAAAGUCAUAUAUUUUAUUUA
Leptinotarsa decemlineata (Colorado potato beetle) is the source of this 1036-nucleotide long non-coding RNA. The record is from RefSeq and is a predicted model, not a curated record. NCBI's taxonomy places the organism in Eukaryota, Metazoa, Arthropoda, Insecta, Coleoptera, Chrysomelidae.